CACGGCUGACGAGCUCCACCUGCCCCGGUUUAUUGUUCGGAGUUUGCUCUCCUAGGUGUAUUACCUAUGACGGCUCACGAGCCCAACCUGCCCGGGUUUUAUGAUCGGAGUUUGCUCUCCUAGGUGUAUUACCUAUGACGGCUCACGAGCCCAACCUGCCCGGGUUUAUUGUUCGGAGUUUGCUCUCCUAGGUGAAUUGCCUACCACGGCUAACGAACCUCACCUGCCCGGGUUUGUAAUCGGAGUUUGCUCUCCUAGGUGAACUGCUUUCGCUAACGACCUCCACCUGCCCGGGUUUGUAAUCGGAGUUUGCUCUCCUAGAUGAAUUGCUUUCGCUAAC
Molecule: long non-coding RNA, 340 nt
Organism: Eriocheir sinensis (Chinese mitten crab)
Lineage: Eukaryota; Metazoa; Arthropoda; Malacostraca; Decapoda; Varunidae
Exons: 3
Source: RefSeq, a predicted model, not a curated record